RNAcentral lists this long non-coding RNA (614 nucleotides) under Monodelphis domestica (gray short-tailed opossum). RNAcentral describes it as "lncRNA (ENSMODG00000047204.1)". Lineage: Eukaryota; Metazoa; Chordata; Mammalia; Didelphimorphia; Didelphidae. The record is from RNAcentral.
GCCAAGAAAACCCCAGAUGGGGCCACAAACAAUUGGAUACUACAGAAAUGACUGAACUACAAUGACAUGUAACCAUCAAGAAGAAUAUGAACUAAAAACAUUAAAAAAAAGUGUGAACUUAUUUUGCUGAAAAUGAAGCAGGGAUGAUAGUAAAGAUUUAGAAUCCUAGAUUCUAUGACAUAGAGAUGCCAGAUCUUUUUUGAUACUUUCUAUGAUACAUAGAUGCCAGAAGACAGUGGAGAAAAUUUUACAGCCUAAUAUCUUUAUUUUACAGAUGAGGAAACUGAGACCUUGAGAAGGGACUCAUCCAGAUGCUGACUUUCCCAAGAAGACUUGAAUAAGACUAUAUUGAGGUCCAAAUCAUUAGCACCCUAUCUACUGUCUUAGCUGAAUUAAUACUGGAAUGGAAGAGUUGAAGAUGCCCCAGUUCUUGCUACUUCUUGGAGAGCAAAAGCUGGCCUCAUUCCCCUCUCUAUACUGUGGCUUGGAGCGAGCCUCUUCCUCUUCCAAGCCCCGCGUGCAUUAAUCAACCUCAUCCUUCCCGCGACCUGGCAGGGGAACAGCAGCACCUACUUCUUAAUAAACUCAAACUGUCAUUGAAGAUGAAAGAUGGG